This 554-nucleotide long non-coding RNA is filed under the name Dermacentor andersoni. RNAcentral's name for it is "uncharacterized LOC126517963". Lineage: Eukaryota; Metazoa; Arthropoda; Arachnida; Ixodida; Ixodidae. The record is from RNAcentral.
AACCAGACAACCGCCACCACAAACUCUAUAGGGAAUUUUUUUUUUUCUUGCUUGUAACUGCGAAACUCCCCAUGUUUUAUUCGCUCACCACCGUGGAUGUUUCAGUUUGAUUUUCGAGAAAAAUAUCCGCAUUUUAAAGCUUGUUUUCUGCGUGAUGACUGAUUUGCGGUGAAGUGUUCAGUACUGAAAAAAAAAAAAAAGUGGACAAGCUUGUGGCACCGGAACCUACCAGCCGUGAACGUUCCAUUACAGUCCCGAUUGCGUGAGAGAGGAUUUCUGGAAACGAGUGUAUGCGAAGAAUUUUUGGACAAGCUCUUGCCAGAAAGAAAAAAAAGAAGUGUGCGAAAAAUACGGCAGCUUUAACAUCGACGAGUCUCCGACCAACGCUUCGAUUCGGUCUGGGAGUCCAAUACGCAGGGCCUGACGAACCAUCUCACACGGUAUACAGAUACCGUACGCUGGUGACACCGAAGCUCCGCAGACCCUGCAAGUAGCUCCUGGACAACAACAGCGUAGGAACAGGAUCUUGUGUGCUGUCUAUUUCACUGCGAAGU